Molecule: ribosomal RNA, 468 nt
Filed under: uncultured bacterium
Lineage: Bacteria
Description: partial 16S ribosomal RNA
Rfam family: Bacterial small subunit ribosomal RNA
Source: RNAcentral
GACGAACGCUGGCGGCGUGCUUAAUACAUGCAAGUCGAGCGGAAAGGCCCUGCUCUUGUGGGGUGCUCGAGAGGCGCACAGGUGAGUGACACGCGAGUAUAAUGUCCCUGUCUUUGGGAUAAAACCUGGAAAAUGGGGCGAUUAUACCAUAGAAUAUCCUGAAGCAUGGGGGGGGAUGGAGAGUUGCGGCGGUUGGGGAUGGAAUCGCGGCUUAUCAGCUUGUUGGUGGGGUAGUGGCUUACCAGGGCUUCGACGGGUAGCCGGCCUGGGAGGGGGACCGGGCACAAUGGGACUGAGAGACGGCCCAGACGCCAACGGGAGGCAGCGGUGGAGAACAUUGCACAACAGGCGGAAGCCAGAGGCAGCAACGCCGCGUGCGUGAUGACCGCUUUCGGGGUAUAAACCGCUUUCGCCUGUGACGAAGCGUGAGUGACGGUAAUUGGUAAAAAAGCACCGGCUAACUACGUG